RNAcentral lists this long non-coding RNA (272 nucleotides) under Elaeis guineensis (African oil palm). Its description in RNAcentral is "long non-coding RNA (EGUI_LNC081168)". The record is from RNAcentral. Lineage: Eukaryota; Viridiplantae; Streptophyta; Magnoliopsida; Arecales; Arecaceae.
CGAAGCCAUGGGAAGGAGGGGAAGGAAGAGAGGAAGGAGGGCCGGGGCUUACUUUCGACUUCGGUGAGGUUUCCGGCGAGAAAUCGCGGCGAGCACAGGUCGAGGGGCCGCAGCUUCAAACGGGAAAAUCGGAGAAAAACUCCGACGAUCGUCGGUGACCGAAGGAUCUACACUUAGAGGAGAAGAGGGGGUUCUUAUAGAGCUCGUCCUAGGGUCUUUUAAUGGCCCUAGGACUCCGAUUUUUGAUCGGAGACGGGGAAGAGGAAGACUCC